GGGCCGUUUGGUUACUGGAUAAGGGGCAAAGUUAAUACAUGAAUAAUUUGGUUAUUCAUGUAUUAAUUUUAUACCAUGUUUGGUUUGUAAAUAGAAUCAAAAUUAUUCAUGUAUAAAUUUUAUACAAUGUUUGGUUGGUGUGUCUCCAAAUGUUGUAUAAAAGUUAUUCAUGUAUUGAUUUAUGUGUUGUUUGGUUGUAUUUUUGUAAUUCUACAUAGCUAAUACUCACAUAACUUAUGAGGAAAUCUAUGUAUAAUUUUAUGCGGGGUAGAAGGUGGAAUAAGUUAUGAGGGUAUUAGUUAUACAUGGAUUAAAAUAAUAAAAUUACAUAUUUACCCUUAAUUUGUUUACUUAAUUAUUUAUUUGUAAAUAAUAAUGUAUAUUAAUAUUAGUUAACAAAAUAAAGGAGUAAUUUUUUUUAAAAAAAAAGGACUGGCCUAAUUCAAUUUUUUUAGUUCCGUGAUUGCCUCCCCCCUAACAAACCCAGAAUUGUUUUCCCCCGACUGCAUUUUGUUAAUUGUGCGCAUCACACUAUAGAUUUGUUUCCCCCCCCCCCCACACACACACCCAAACUGUUGCAUUUUAUUAUUUGUGCGCAUCAACCUAUAGAUUUCUACCCCCCCCUCUCGCCCCACCCCCACAGGGGCCUGUUGCAUUUUAUCUUGGAUACAAGCUUUAUAAUUUUCUAUUUUAAAUAAAAAAUAUAUUAAUUUACAAUAAAUUAAACAAUCAAUAAGUUAUUAUAUAUUUAUUAUAAUUUCUACAUAACUAAAUCCUACAUAAAUAAUACCUACAUAACUAAUAUUGGGUAUUAGUUAUACAUGGAUUAAAAUAAUAAAAUUACAUAUUUACCCUUAAUUUGUUUACUUAAUUAUUUAUUUGUAAAUAAUAAUGUAUAUUAAUAUUAAUUAACAAGAUUAAGGAGUAAUUUUUAUUUUUUUAAAAGGACUGGCCUAAUUCAAAUUUUUUAGUUCCGUGAUUGCCUCCCCC
RNAcentral lists this long non-coding RNA (990 nucleotides) under Solanum tuberosum (potato). RNAcentral's name for it is "long non-coding RNA (STUB_LNC004355)". The record is from RNAcentral. Lineage: Eukaryota; Viridiplantae; Streptophyta; Magnoliopsida; Solanales; Solanaceae.